AUUGAACGCUGGCGGCAGGCCUAACACAUGCAAGUUGAGCGGAGCGGCGGACGGGUGAGUAAUGCCUAGGAAUCUGCCAGGUAGUGGGGGAUAACGUCCUGAAACGGGCGCUAAUUCCGCAUACUAUCAGCGUAGCCUAGGUCGGAUUAGCUAGUGGGUGGGGUAAAGGCAUACCAAGGCGACGAUCCGUAACUGGACUGGGAGGAUGAUCAGUCACACUGGAACUGAGACAGGGUCCAGCCUCCUACGGGAGGCAGCAGUGGGGCAUAUUGGACAAUGGGCGAAAGCCUGAUACAGCCAUGCCGCGUGUGUGAAGAAGGUCUUCGGAUUGUAAAGCACUUUAAGUUGGGAGGCGUUACCAACAGAAUAAGCACCGGCUAACAUCGUGCCAGCAGCCGCGGAAAUUC
Molecule: ribosomal RNA, 407 nt
Filed under: uncultured bacterium
Lineage: Bacteria
Description: partial 16S ribosomal RNA
Rfam family: Bacterial small subunit ribosomal RNA
Source: RNAcentral